AACGAACGCUGGCGGCAUGCCUAACACAUGCAAGUCGAACGAAGGCUUCGGCCUUAGUGGCGCACGGGUGCGUAACGCGUGGGAACCUGCCCCUCGGUUCGGAAUAACAGUUAGAAAUGACUGCUAAUACCGGAUGAUGACUUCGGUCCAAAGAUUUAUCGCCGAGGGAUGGGCCCGCGUAGGAUUAGCUAGUUGGGUGGGGUAAAGGCCUACCAAGGCGACGAUCCUUAGCUGGUCUGAGAGGAUGAUCAGCCACACUGGGACUGAGACACGGCCCAGACUCCUACGGGAGGCAGCAGUGGGGAAUAUUGGACAAUGGGCGAAAGCCUGAUCCAGCAAUGCCGCGUGAGUGAUGAAGGCCUUAGGGUUGUAAAGCUCUUUUACCAGGGAUGAUAAUGACAGUACCUGGAGAAUAAGCUCCGGCUAACUCCGUG
RNAcentral lists this ribosomal RNA (434 nucleotides) under uncultured bacterium. RNAcentral's name for it is "bacterial SSU rRNA". It matches the Rfam family "Bacterial small subunit ribosomal RNA", at positions 29 to 507 of the family's 1533-position model. The record is from RNAcentral.